This 2068-nucleotide long non-coding RNA is filed under the name Cinara cedri. The record is from RNAcentral. Lineage: Eukaryota; Metazoa; Arthropoda; Insecta; Hemiptera; Aphididae.
UUUUUAUGUAUAUAUAUAUAUUAGCAAUAAAAAUUACAACAACACAAGUAUUAUAUUGUAGGAACCUCGACAAACUACAGACGUCUACUACAUAUAUAUAUAAUUAUAAUAUCGUUAUAAUACGAAUUGCAAUAAUAUUUAGCCGACUAUAUUUAAUAAAUAAUAAUAAUAAAUUUAAUGAUACGUUCGAUUAGCGAAUUUCAGUCGAAAUUAUUAUACGGUAAAACUUCUACAUAACGGCGACCCGAGGGACCGGAAAUAAUGACCGCUAUUUAGAGGUGACGACCAUUGUUUACAGGUGUCUUACAGAGUCCGUAACACUUGACAGGACCGAAAAAAUGACGGUUACACAGGGGCGAACGUCAGCGGAAGUUUUACCGUACUAUACGAGUGCUCUGAACUGUUUUACGCGCGGAUACGAUUGUGUCGUUACUAUACGAUCGUCAUAGUUAUAAUAUGCAAUGCAAAUAUUCCGACGUUCGCUCAUUUAUUAUAUGUUAUAAAACGCUUUCCGACUCGGCGAAAAAUCAGCGCCACGCCACGGAACACCGGCACGACACAUUGGAAAAUAUAGAAACGACAAUAGCAUGAUAUGUGUUUACGCGGCGAGUUGCUCUCGCGACAGUGACGAUACGCGUGGCACGGCAUGCCAGUUGCUUUCACGAUAGCCGCCGUCGCGACCGCAGUGCGCGAUAGUGACCGAUAGCGUUUUCCGUCUGAUCGCACUCAGUCAGUGGACGCCGCCGCAUUCCUCACUGGUGUUUUCGCACGCGUUUAGACGGGAUUAAUACUUCGCCGCCAUGAUAUGAUGGAAUUGACGUUAUCAAUAGUAUAACACUGCGCCGGCUGACGACGACAGGCGACAUAAUAUAGUAGGCGAAAAUCGUACGCCAGUGUACAUAGGACACGGAUGCGGUCGGACGGAAAACGCGCGGUCGGGAAUUUCGCGAUUUUCACGAUAGAAUCUACGCAACGUUAUCGUAUAAUGGUGUCCAACUCUGUCAUCCGGUUCGUGGACCGGGCUUGGCGAGCGGUGAAAUCACAUUCGGAUCGGAAUUCGUACCGUGAAAAUCGUGAGAAAAAGAAUAAUCGACUAAAUACACGAUAUUUCAAUAAAAUUAUGCGAAUCGUUAGUAAUUAUUGAUUAUAGCUUAUUAUUAUGUACAUACGAUUAUAAUCGGUUUUCGUGCGAUACACAACACGCGUGGCAUAUAUGGGAGGAGCGAAAGGCUAAAGGCCUCUAGUAUAUCGUUUUUCAAACGUGUUUUUGAUUAUGUUGAAUGCAAUUUUCGGGACCGUUUAUAAGUGCACACGCGUUGGUACGCCGACAAAAGCAUUACGAAGCGAUAAAUAGGAUAACGCGAUAUUAUGGUUACGUGAUCAUAUGAUUAUACAAUACGAGUAAAUAAUAUAAAUGUUUUAAAAGUACUUAUCGAGUAAUCGAGCAUUUCGAAAUUUGAAAUUUCACCGAGUUCAACUAAGUUGAUCUUAAACGAGUGAUCGGAGAGAAACUGACUGCGCGUAGUUAAAUAAAACGAUUACGUAUUUUAGCCCCCCCCCCCGAAGAAUAUUUACUCUGGAGUUGGCCCAAACGCGGCAUAAGCGCCGUGACGCGUGAACGCGAAACGAGGCCGUACCCUAUAAUAUUGUUAUAGUAUUUCGAUUAAUAAUAUUUAUUGAAACAAUAAAGUCAAAAACAAAAUCAUUAAAAUAAUUUACGUAAUUUUUAAACAAUUUGUGGACUUUUUUGGUGACCGAGGCGUUUAAAGAAGGAAUGUAAAAUGUUUACUGCUGAUAGACGGUGAAGUUAUCGCAUUGAAAAGUGCAUUGCGCGUCGCAUGAUUGCGUCAAACUAUGCGUAACACAAAUUGCUCUUAUCGUUUUGAAAAUUGCGUAUGUUAAAAUGAAAAGCUAUAAUAACGAAAAAAAAACCUUACUAAAUGGUUCGGUUACCGGCUUUUCGACUUCGACGGACGUUUCCUAUAAUUUUUUUAUCUAUAUUUAUAAGUUUAAAAAAAAAAAACAAAAACAAAAAAACAUUUUAAUUGUAAAAAAAAAAAACAAAAAC